GACGAACGCUGGCGGCGUGCUUAACACAUGCAAGUCGAACGGAAAGGCCCUGCUUUUGUGGGGUGCUCGAGUGGCGAACGGGUGAGUAACACGUGAGUAACCUGCCCUUGACUUUGGGAUAACUUCAGGAAACUGGGGCUAAUACCGGAUAGGAGCUCCUGCUGCAUGGUGGGGGUUGGAAAGUUUCGGCGGUUGGGGAUGGACGCGCGGCUUAUCAGCUUGUUGGUGGGGUAGUGGCUUACCAAGGCUUUGACGGGUAGCCGGCCUGAGAGGGUGACCGGCCUCAUUGGGACUGAGCUACGGCCCAGACUCCUACGGGAGGCUGCAGUGGGGAGUCUUGCACAAUGGGCGGAAGCCUGAUGCAGCAACGCCGCGUGCGGGAUGACGGCCUUCGGGUUGUAAACCGCUUUCGCCUGUGACGAAGCGUGAGUGACGGUAAUGGAUAAAGAAGCACCGGCUAACUACGUG
Molecule: ribosomal RNA, 468 nt
Filed under: uncultured bacterium
Lineage: Bacteria
Description: partial 16S ribosomal RNA
Rfam family: Bacterial small subunit ribosomal RNA
Source: RNAcentral